This 66-nucleotide transfer RNA is filed under the name Scolytinae sp. BMNH 1274299. RNAcentral describes it as "tRNA-Val". Lineage: Eukaryota; Metazoa; Arthropoda; Insecta; Coleoptera; Curculionidae. The record is from RNAcentral.
CAAAUUAAAGCUUUAAAGAAGCGUUUUAUUUACACUAAAGAGAUUAUUCUAGUAGAUGUGGUUUGA